This 996-nucleotide ribosomal RNA is filed under the name Staphylococcus aureus subsp. aureus SA9080. Its description in RNAcentral is "bacterial SSU rRNA". It matches the Rfam family "Bacterial small subunit ribosomal RNA", at positions 8 to 985 of the family's 1533-position model. The record is from RNAcentral. Lineage: Bacteria; Bacillati; Bacillota; Bacilli; Caryophanales; Staphylococcaceae.
AGAGUUUGAUCCUGGCUCAGGAUGAACGCUGGCGGCGUGCCUAAUACAUGCAAGUCGAGCGAACGGACGAGAAGCUUGCUUCUCUGAUGUUAGCGGCGGACGGGUGAGUAACACGUGGAUAACCUACCUAUAAGACUGGGAUAACUUCGGGAAACCGGAGCUAAUACCGGAUAAUAUUUUGAACCGCAUGGUUCAAAAGUGAAAGACGGUCUUGCUGUCACUUAUAGAUGGAUCCGCGCUGCAUUAGCUAGUUGGUAAGGUAACGGCUUACCAAGGCAACGAUGCAUAGCCGACCUGAGAGGGUGAUCGGCCACACUGGAACUGAGACACGGUCCAGACUCCUACGGGAGGCAGCAGUAGGGAAUCUUCCGCAAUGGGCGAAAGCCUGACGGAGCAACGCCGCGUGAGUGAUGAAGGUCUUCGGAUCGUAAAACUCUGUUAUUAGGGAAGAACAUAUGUGUAAGUAACUGUGCACAUCUUGACGGUACCUAAUCAGAAAGCCACGGCUAACUACGUGCCAGCAGCCGCGGUAAUACGUAGGUGGCAAGCGUUAUCCGGAAUUAUUGGGCGUAAAGCGCGCGUAGGCGGUUUUUUAAGUCUGAUGUGAAAGCCCACGGCUCAACCGUGGAGGGUCAUUGGAAACUGGAAAACUUGAGUGCAGAAGAGGAAAGUGGAAUUCCAUGUGUAGCGGUGAAAUGCGCAGAGAUAUGGAGGAACACCAGUGGCGAAGGCGACUUUCUGGUCUGUAACUGACGCUGAUGUGCGAAAGCGUGGGGAUCAAACAGGAUUAGAUACCCUGGUAGUCCACGCCGUAAACGAUGAGUGCUAAGUGUUAGGGGGUUUCCGCCCCUUAGUGCUGCAGCUAACGCAUUAAGCACUCCGCCUGGGGAGUACGACCGCAAGGUUGAAACUCAAAGGAAUUGACGGGGACCCGCACAAGCGGUGGAGCAUGUGGUUUAAUUCGAAGCAACGCGAAGAACCUUACCAAAUCUUGAC